This 429-nucleotide ribosomal RNA is filed under the name Chloroflexota bacterium. RNAcentral describes it as "Chloroflexi bacterium partial 16S ribosomal RNA". It matches the Rfam family "Bacterial small subunit ribosomal RNA", at positions 355 to 776 of the family's 1533-position model. The record is from RNAcentral. RNAcentral also lists the same sequence under 1 other name. Lineage: Bacteria; Bacillati; Chloroflexota.
UGGGGAAUAUUGCACAAUGGGCGCAAGCCUGAUGCAGCCAUGCCGCGUGUAUGAAGAAGGCCUUCGGGUUGUAAAGUACUUUCAGCGGGGAGGAAGGGAGUAAAGUUAAUACCUUUGCUCAUUGACGUUACCCGCAGAAGAAGCACCGGCUAACUCCGUGCCAGCAGCCGCGGUAAUACGGAGGGUGCAAGCGUUAAUCGGAAUUACUGGGCGUAAAGCGCACGCAGGCGGUUUGUUAAGUCAGAUGUGAAAUCCCCGGGCUCAACCUGGGAACUGCAUCUGAUACUGGCAAGCUUGAGUCUCGUAGAGGGGGGUAGAAUUCCAGGUGUAGCGGUGAACUGCGUAGAGAUCUGGAGGAAUACCGGUGGCGAAGGCGGCCCCCUGGACGAAGACUGACGCUCAGGUGCGAAAGCGUGGGGAGCAAACAGG